This 442-nucleotide ribosomal RNA is filed under the name Cryptosporidium canis. RNAcentral describes it as "SSU rRNA". It matches the Rfam family "Eukaryotic small subunit ribosomal RNA", at positions 582 to 1056 of the family's 1831-position model. Lineage: Eukaryota; Apicomplexa; Conoidasida; Eucoccidiorida; Cryptosporidiidae. The record is from RNAcentral.
AUUCCAGCUCCAAUAGCGUAUAUUAAAGUUGUUGCAGUUAAAAAGCUCGUAGUUGGAUUUCUGUUAAUAAUUUAUAUAUAAUAUUUAACAUAUUUAUAUAAUAUUAACAUAAUUCAUAUUACUAUUUAUAGUAUAUGAAACUUUACUUUGAGAAAAUUAGAGUGCUUAAAGCAGGCUUUUGCCUUGAAUACUAGAGCAUGGAAUAAUAUUAAAGAUUUUUAUCUUUCUUAUUGGUUCUAAGAUAGAAAUAAUGAUUAAUAGGGACAGUUGGGGGCAUUUGUAUUUAACAGUUAGAGGUGAAAUUCUUAGAUUUGUUAAAGACAAACUAAUGCGAAAGCAUUUGCCAAGGAUGUUUUCAUUAAUCAAGAACGAAAGUUAGGGGAUCGAAGACGAUCAGAUACCGUCGUAGUCUUAACCAUAAACUAUGCCAACUAGAGAUUGG